AAUAGUCCUGUAUGUUAAACGAGAAGACUUCAGAUAUGAUCCAGAGUACCACGGGACACGUGAAACCCUGUGGGAAGCAGGAGGGACCACCCUCCAAGGCUAAAUACUACCUAGUGACCGAUAGCGUAUAGUACCGUGAGGGAAAGGUGAAAAGAACCCCGGGAGGGGAGUGAAAUAGAACCUGAAACCCUGCACUUACAAGCUGUGGAAGCACAUUUCUUGUGUGACCGCGUACUUUUUGUAGAACGGGCCAACGAGUUACGUUAAGUAGCAAGGUUAAGCACUUAAGGUGUGGAGCCGUAGCGAAAGCGAGUUUUAACUGAGCGUUCAGUUACUUGACGUAGACCCGAAACCGGGCGACCUACCCAUGAGCAGGAUGAAGCGAAAGUAAAAUUUCGUGGAGGUCCGAACCCACGAGCGUUGAAAAGCUCGGGGAUGACUUGUGGGUAGCGGUGAAAUUCCAAUCGAGCCCGGAGAUAGCUGGUUCUCCCCGAAAUAGCUUUAGGGCUAGCCUCAAGGUGAGAGAUACGGAGGUAGAGCACUGAAUGUCCUAGGGGGUAUUGCACCUACCGAAGACUAUCAAACUCCGAAUGCCGUCAUCUUAUACUUGGGAGUCAGACUGUGGGUGAUAAGAUUCAUAGUCGAAAGGGCAACAGCCCAGAUCGUCAGCUAAGGUCCCUAAAUGUAAGUUAAGUGGUAAAGGAUGUGGGAUUGCACAGACAACCAGGAUGUUGGCUUAGAAGCAGCCACUCAUUCAAAGAGUGCGUAAUAGCUCACUGGUCGAGUGAUCCUGCGCCGAAGAUUUCCGGGGCUAAAACUUACUACCGAAGCUACGGCAUCAGUAAUGAUGGGUAGGGGAGCUUCCCAUA
Molecule: ribosomal RNA, 869 nt
Filed under: Clostridioides difficile
Lineage: Bacteria; Bacillati; Bacillota; Clostridia; Peptostreptococcales; Peptostreptococcaceae
Description: partial 23S ribosomal RNA
Rfam family: Bacterial large subunit ribosomal RNA
Source: RNAcentral